GUCUCUCACUACGCUCUGUCAUUGGUCUCCGUAAGGAGUCCAGGAACAGAGCAUAAGUGUGUUGGGAUUCCUCAGAAAUAUGCUGGGAAUCUGCUCAUAGGUCUUGUGUCCACUUAAUCCUGGCGCAAGCUUCUCAAGUCAAUUCACCUGAAUGGGAAACUUAAAGCUAUGAGGAAGAAAGGAACCGGCGUGGGUAAAUUUAGACUAUUCUUCAAUUCUCUUCCUGAUGGGAGAUGAACUUGACUCCUUCUCCUGCAUCCCCUCUUGACUUCUCAGUGAAAGCAUUUGGGACGGUGUGGGAACAAGUUGCUAAGCUUCCCGAUGUUUGGAUCUUGGUGCGUGUUCCAGGAAAUUACCAAAGGAGAGAGAAAAUAGCAAAUGGUUGGCUUAAAGAAUGGACAAUUCAGAUAUGCCAGCUGAGAUAAUUAUGACUUAAAGGCUGGAGAUCCCUUAAGAAGGAACUAGCACAGAGCAAAUAACAAUGAUGUGUUUACAAAAGAACGUCCAACCGUGAUCUUCAACUUCACCGAACAGCUCUACCUACAGAACAGAGACAUGUAGUCAUGGCUUGUCAACUAUCACAGCUUUCACAGCUAAUCAGGAGCAUCUAUUAUAACGAUCACAGAUUCUACAGCUAAUCAGAAGCAUUCAUUGUAACAAUUACAGAUUUUACAGCCAAUCAGAAGCAUUCAUUGUAACAAUCACAGACUUUGCAGUCAACUCGUAUGCUCUUUUCUACAUUUAAUUGUGUAAAAUGACCCAUAAUCGGUGCUUAUAUCUCCACGUGGUUUAAUUGAGUUUAUAGUGGCUGAAUCUCAUUAGCCUUCAGCUGCUCCCCUGCAUGUAAGUCCUGGAAUGAUGUGGACCUGCUGUAGAGUCUUGACCUGAAACAUCCGCCAGCCCUCUGCCUCCACCGAUGCUGCCUGACCUGCUGAGUUCCUCCAACGGUUUGUUUUUUGGACCUGCUUUAAGUCUGCUGAGUAAUAGAUGGCAGUGCCUCUGUCUCUCCUCCAUAGCUGGAUUCCAUUAGGAGGUCAACAGUGAAGCUCUCUGACUGUCUGGAAUUCCCCAGUUUUAGAAUGGGGAAUCCUCCUCUCUACUCCUAUGCCAACCAUACCUUUGAGUAAUCGUAAUCCCAGUCAUUUGAAAUGGGAUUCCUAGCCUGAAGAUUAGGAAGAAAUCAGUAAGUUAAAUUGUUUAUGUUUCACUUAUUUUGUUUAAAUGUUGUAGUGUUUUAAUGUGCUUUAAUUAUUAUUAAUACUACUCUCUUUAAUUCUUUUACAAAAACUUAUUUUUCCAAAACUUAUGCAUUCAUUGUAAUAGUUUUUAAAUGACUUUGAAUAUCAGAAAAAAUCUAGAGUUGCAGUUUCAGGUUUGAAAAGCAACAAUGUUCUCUGCCCAGUCUUGCCUCCUGUCAAAGGCAGUCAAUUCAUUCUAGGGGAGAGUUUCAAUGGCACAUUAACUGAGAUGUCACUACGUCCCACUCCCUCCAUGGUGUGGUGGGACAACUCGAGCAGCCUUCACAUCCAGCCUGUGUAGAGGUUACGGGCAACAGGUCAAAUCCAGUUUGAAUCCAUUCCAUAACACAAGAAUGAAAAUAAAAGGACUGCAGACUGAGAGGUUUGGCCUGGAUUUUGCAAUUGUAAGAAAGUGAAUCUGUUGGUGUUUUCUAUCAUUGCACCAUGCAACUGACAGCGAUCUCCAAAUGUUCACACUUCCACUGUUAAAUGCAAAAUUUCAGAAGCCCCCAGCAAUGAUUUGUUGCUCCUUUACCAUGUAUAAAGCUUUUCAAACUUCUUCAACUUAAUCUUCAGAAAGCUGUGAAUUAAUGACAACCUCAAGUGUUUGCAAGUUAGUCUCACUGUAAGAUAUCCUACAACUCUUAUGCUCUGUUGCAUGAGGCAUUAGUGAGUUUUAAUAUGUACUAAGUUAUAAUUACUGGCUACCAACACUUUCUCCCUCCCCUGCCCCAUCCCCCUUCAGCCAUAACACCUCAAUUCAUAUAUGUGGAUUGUAAUUCCCUCAUAAAUAUUUUAAAACAGAAUAGAUUUUGAAAUCAUAACUUAUUUUCUGGAUGCAACGCUAUUAGAGCGCCAGCAACCAGGGUUCAAUUCCGACCGCUCUCUGUGAGGAGUUUGUACGUUCUCCCCAUGUCUACGUGGGUCUCCUCCAGGUGCUCUGGUUUCCUCCCACAUUCCAAAGACGUACGGGUUAGGAAGUUGUGGGCAUGCUAUGUUGGCGCCGGAAGUGUGGCGACACUUGCGGGCUGCCCCAGAACACCCCACGCAAAAGAUGUAUUUCACUGUGUGUUUCGAUGUACAUGUGACUAAUAAAGAAAUCUUAUCUUAUCUUUAUUUACAAUAUUUCAGCUAUCUUAAUAUCUGUAUGCUAAAAUAAUUAAUUUUUUGUAUCAUGUAAAAUCUUUAAAACACAAGUUAAAAACUGUGCAUUUUGCUUCCUGGUUUGUUAACUGCAAGAACUUUUCAAUGUAAUUGGCUGUACGGCCUGCGUGAUGACAUCACAGCUGCCAAAUGUCCCUCUGAACUGACAGCUGACAGCAAUGGAAGUCUUUGCACUGUGAUGUGAACAGAGCUGCUAAUGCAGUUGUUGUAUUAAUACAAAGACAUUGGGCAGAACCAAACUGGUUGCUAAGGGAAUCUCCAGCCGUCAGUUGUUUGUGGCUCAGCUAAUUUUGGACUUUCUGUGCAUGCUCGGACUAAUGCUGAAGAUGCAAAUGACGUGUGCAUCAAGCCACUGGUGCAUCUGACCUUCCUGUCCACCACUGGAUACUCCUUACUCACUUUUAAUUCAUUCUGUUUAGACGUUGCGUAGUAAUAUAUUAGAUUUUCCAGUGAAUACAGUGAGUUUAAAGGGAGCACUGGGAACAGGGUCCCAGUGAGUUUAGAGGUAACAAGAGCCCAGUAUAUUUAAAGGGAGCACUGGAAUCAACGUGCCGGUGAGCCAAAUGCUGAACCGUUCAGAUUUUCAAACAAUCGGAUAGCAGAUUAUAGUUAUUUUGUUGUAAUUGCAUUGCUGAAAUGUGAUUUAUUUUCUCUAAGGUCAGUUGUCAAGACCCUUUAAACAUGAUUUCGAGUUUGUCUGAGUCAUUUGCCCAGCUCCUAGUAAUUUCCAAAGUGACUGAUUUAUUUCAAAACAUCAAAUUCAAAAUAGGCAAGACGCAAUUCUAUAAUGAAACCGUUAUCAAUCUAAGAUUUAAAUAAUCAGUCGAUGCACUUUGUCAGAUAUUGAAGAGCUUUGCAUCUGCCAUGUCAUUUGAUGCUACAUGCAAUUAUUUAGUUUUCAAUCAAAGCAAUCAACAGUAUAAAUUACUGGAAUUUCAUUAUCCUUCCUGAACGCACCUUCAAAAAUUUCUGAGCAAUCAAAAAUCCAUAGCAUUCCAAACUCAGUUUAUUAAUAUGCCACAUCCCAUUGCAUAAUAUUCACAGCCAGACAGUGGAGACUAAAAUUCCAGUGGCAUACUGAGGAAGUGCUGCAUGAUCAGAGAACCAUUGUAGAAUUGUUACAGUACAUAAGGAGAUCCAUGGGCCAAUGAAUCUACGUCAAUUCCUAGGAAAGCAAUUCCAUCAUUCCCAUUUCUCUUCCUUAUUCCCUAUGGCCAUAGAAAUUAUUCUCUCCCAAGCCUCAAUCCAAUUCGCCUCUGAAAGCCCUGAUUGAUCUGUGCCCAAAACCUCUGCACAGUGUGUUCCAGAUCAAAACUAUUCUCUGCUUAAAAAUGCUAUUCCCCCACACACACCUUGUAUCUUCUACCAAAAAUUUUAAAUCUGUGCUUCCUUCUCCUUGAACCAAUCACUAGUAGGAAAUGAAGCUUCUCGCUAUUGCCCUUAGCCAAACCAUUCAGAGGUGAAUGUUUCCGAUGAGGGGUUAAACUGCUGUCCCAUCACAGUUUUGAUCGGGGAUUACUGGCAAUAUCAAUGAAAGGUAUAGCACAGAGACAGGCCUCUCGGCCCACUUGAGUCUAUGCUGACCAUCAAACACACAUUUUUACACUAAUCCAAUCCUACCUCAUUUUAUUCAUCCCACAUUCCCAACAAACCCUUCACCCCCCCCCCCCCCAAGAUUCUACCAUCCACCUACAAGAUAGGGACGAUUUGCAGUGGUCAAUUCAACCAUUCAGUUCUGCCAACUCAGAUGUUUUUGGGAUGUGGGAGGAAACCGGAGCACCCGGAGGAAACCCACACAGUUACAUGGAGAACGUGCAAACUCCACACAGACAGCGCCAGCGGUCAGGAUUGAACCCGGGUGCUGUGAGGCAGCAGCUUUCCUAGUUAUGCCACCUGUACCCUGCCUCAUAUUUAUCCUUGGGACAAUACUAAAGGCAGGUGCUCUGGUCAAUAUCAUGGUGCUUUUUGUGAGACCUUAUUAUGAGCAAAGUGUCUCCUGCAUAUUCUGUGUAACAAUGGUGACAGCAAUCCAGGAUAUCCUUAAUUAGUUAUAAAACACUGAGCUGGUGAAAGGUGAUGUAUACUGUAAAUGCAAGUCUUUCUUUACAAAUAUGUUUUAUUACUGAUCACCUAUUUUCAAUC
Molecule: long non-coding RNA, 4544 nt
Organism: Pristis pectinata (smalltooth sawfish)
Lineage: Eukaryota; Metazoa; Chordata; Chondrichthyes; Rhinopristiformes; Pristidae
Exons: 4
Source: RefSeq, a predicted model, not a curated record